RNAcentral lists this long non-coding RNA (6704 nucleotides) under Elaeis guineensis (African oil palm). RNAcentral describes it as "long non-coding RNA (EGUI_LNC033911)". Lineage: Eukaryota; Viridiplantae; Streptophyta; Magnoliopsida; Arecales; Arecaceae. The record is from RNAcentral.
UCGUCAAUAUUUUGACAGUCUUGUGAUGGAUAGGUAACCUGCGCAUAUAAAAAAUAAUAAGCCAUUAGCAUAUUUAAUUUCCUUCCCCUCUCUCUACACUCUUUCUUUUUCCUUCUUAAUUUCUUCUUUUUUUCAUAUUCUUUUGCUUGGUCUGCACAAUUUUUUUACUUUGUAUGUCAAUGUUUUGUAUGACUUUUUCUUUCUCUUUCAUUUGCUCUUUCAAUAUAUUGUUCUUUUUAUCCUAUUUAUGUUGUUUCCUAUAAAAACAAAACUUCAAGCUAUUACAAAGUAUUGGCUUUUUAUGGUACAAUGCCUCCUUAUCCACAAAUGGUAUACAUAGUAGAGGAAUAUUAAUAUGAUUAUCCUGAUCCUUAGAAAAGAACAGGCCCCCGGGACUCAUCCAAAAACAGUCUUCCAUCAAUCUUUUUCCAAAAAUCUGAAAAUAUUCCGUGAUCAAAUAAAAGAAGCUAACAAGACUUGUCAAGAUAUAUCCUAAAUCUUUCCCAUCAGCGCUUAUCAAACUCCUCUACUUCUUUGGACAUUACUGAUGUAGGAGGAAAAGAAUGGCCUAUUCCUCCCAAUGCCACAACCUAUAACCAACCCCACAAGCAUCAGCUACUAGAAGAAAUUUGCAAUGAUGGUCAUGAAUAUCAUCAUAAUUCCAUGUAAAAUCCUCCUGCAAUGCACUAUUAGCGAUGAAAUCUGCAAUUUGAUUCGCCUCUCGAAAAGUAUGAGAUAUCUUAUAGAAAGUCACAAUUGAUUUCCAAUGUAGAAGAUCAUUAACAUAAGGAAUAUGAUUAAGGAAGUGCGAUGAGGGGUUUCUUAGCCAAGAGAAAACAGUGGCCGAGUCCCCUUCCACCCAAAUAUGGGUAGCUUUUAAUUCAAGAAUAGCAACCCGGAUCCCAAGCCAAGCAGCUAACAAUUUCAGCGAAAGGAACAGAAACAUGAGGAAGCACCUUACCUCCGACUUGCAGUAAUACAGCAUCAUGGUUUCUGAUAACAUAGCCCGCAGCUGUCUUGUCACCGACUACUGAUGCAUCAAAAUUGAUUUUCAUGACCCCAACCGGAUGGGGUAGCCAAGACAUUAGCCGAGGUUGACAAAAGGCUGACUCCUUUUGUAAUUGGCUAUCCUAAUACUGACAUGGGGCUAGAAAAUAUGAAGAAUACAAGCAGCCAAAAUCUUUAGCAAAGACUAUCAGUUUGCGCAUAAAUUGGGUAAUCAUCAUCUGGUUGCUAUUAAUUAAAGAUCCAUUCAUUUUGAGCCCACCAUAGCAAUCAAGCUAUAGAUGCCAAGAGUGACCUCUGUUCCAUUGCUACUACGCUAUUCGAAAUGUGUUCAAUUAAAGCUGGCAACGAAGUAGGAUAGAAAUUCACUCGGUAUAUAUAAGUUAGUUGCUGCCAACAGAAUUGAGCAUACCAGUAGUGGAUAAUGGGGUAAGCACAAUCCUCCAUUUGAUCAAUACAAAGAUCACAAAACCUAUCUAUAGAGGGUAUAAUAUUACAGUGGACCAAUAAUUGUUUACAAGGUAGCUUAUUCAAAACAAGUCUUCAGAGAAAAGUUUUAACUUGCAUAGGCUCUUUAAGGGACCAAAUCCAAGCACAAUUAACCUAGAGCAUCAUUAGCAAAAGACAGCCAUUUCAUAUCUUCCAAGAAGACGUAUUAAUUUGGAAGAACCCCAAACCAGCCUGUCCUCCCAAACACCUUGAGAUAAGGGAAUAGUACAAAUAAUCUUAAGAAGAUCAGAAGAAAAGUGUAGUGCAAGACCCUGCAAAUCCCAAGUUCUAUCCGCAUUAAUGAAAUCAGAGACAUGCAUAUUCACGUUCAUAGAAUCCAUAUUAAUGUAAGUAGGCCAAGCCAUGAGAGAAAUAGGUGAUAUCCAUGGGUCCUUAUAUACUUUAAUGGUAGUACCAGUGCCCACCAUCCAUUGAAACUGAAAUUUCAAGUGAGACCCAGCCUGAGCAAUCUUCCUCCAAAUGAUAAAAACAUUUCUUGGACAGUUAUAAUUAAUCGAAGUUUUGGGAAAUUUAUAUUUUGCUUUAACUACCUAAGCCCAUAAUGAAUAUAGAUUUAAAAUAACUAGAGCAGCUAAUUUACAUAAAUAGUGGAAAUGACGUUGAUUUGAUAAUUGAAACCCUAGACCACCACAUGGUUUAGGAGUGUACACUUGAUUCCAAGCAAUAGGAUGAAACACACGCCUAUCCAAUACAUGACCCUAAAGAAAAGCUCUGAAUUCUCUAUCAAUCUUAUGAAGAACAAACAUGGAACAUGCAUAGAAGAAAAGAUAUAAAGAGGGGUAGCAUAAAACACUGAGUGGAGUAAAGUCAUACGACCGACAAGAGAUAACUAAUGUUCGCCAUUUCUAAGCCGUAACUUUGUUUGAAAUUUUAUCUAAUAGGAAUUGAAAGUUUGAGGGUCGAAGAGACGUACUGAUAAAGGGGCCCCAAUGUAAAUCCAGCCUUCCCAUUUUUUUGAGAUAUACAAUAGUUGCAUGACGUGUUGCUUGAUGGUACAUUCAAUGCCUAGGGAAAAGAAAAUAUGAGAUUUUAUAUAGUUAAUAGCCUGUCUAGAAUACAUGCAAUAAGCAUUAAGAAUAGUAGAGAGGCAUAUAGCAUUAUGCAAUGUAGCUCGAGCUACAAGUAAACAAUCAUUUGCAUAAAAUACAUGUGUGAUUUUUGGACCACCACGAAUUUUAUAACCCUUAAGAAGAUUUGACUGAGUAGCUACAUGAAGAAAUUUUGAAAAAGCUUCAAAAUAUAAAAUAAAAAGAUACGGUGAGAGGGGACAACCCUGCCUUAGACCUCUAGAAACAACAAAUGGGGGAGUAGACGUACCAUUCACCAACAAAACAAAUUGAGGAUGAGUAAUACAACUUUGAAUCCAAAAUAUAAAGUGAUUAGAUAAACCAAUCUGUCGAAGAAUAAAGAAUAGGAAAGGCCAAUGAACCCUAUCAUAGGCCUUCUCCAUGUCCAACUUCAAUAACAUAAGGGCCCUAGAAGAAAGAGCAUUAUAAAGGAAAUGCAUAAUUUCUUGAGCAAGCAAAAGAUUUUCUGUAAUAUUACGAUCAGCAAUAAAAGCACUUUGCUCCUUCGAAAUAUGACUAGGCAGAAAGGCUUUAAGUCUAGAAACUAGAAUUUUUGCAAUAAUUUUAUACACUAUAUUAUACAAGCUAAUAGGAUGAAAAUCAUAAGGGUAUUGUGGAUUAUCUUUCUUAGGUAUCAAAGUUAUAUACGUCUUAGUCCAAGAGUCCGAAAGAUGAGCACUUUGAAAGAAAAAUGUAUAGCAAGUAAGAUUUCUAGUUUAAUGAUGUUCCUAAAUUUUUAAAAGAAAAAACUUGAGAAAUCAUCAGAUCCCAGGGCCUUAUCAGAAUAUGUAGAUAUAAUAGCAGUUUCGAUCUCCUCAUCCAUAAUUGGUUGAAUAAGGGAAGAACACUGGGUAGGAGUUAAAACAAAACUCAUAACAAGGUAAUUCGGCUCUGGAAUUUUCGUAUCCAUCUUUCAUCUAUCAUGGAAAUGAGCAAUCAAAACCUCUUGUAUAAUAUUUAUAUCAUUUGUGGUUUCACCAUGCGGAAGAAAAAGGGUAUUGAUUCGAUUAGAGAGUCUUCGAAGAAUGGUGGAAUGGUGAAAAAAUUUUAUAUUCACAUCGCCAUCUUUUAGCCACUAGAUGCGAAAUUUCUAUCACCACAUUAAUUCAAUACAAUGCAAAGUGUGAUUAUAAUCCCUUAGAAGAGAGAGCAGUAGCAACAAAUGAUCAUGAAGAGACAAACCCCUAGAUUGAGAUUCCCUAUUUUGCAUGUCGAGAAUACGAUCAUAUAACUGUCAAGCAAUAGUGUUCAAAUUCCAUAAAGUGUAUUUUCAAGAAUUAAGAGCAUGAUGGACAUUUUUAAGAAGUAAAGAGACCCUUUCAGUAGGAUUAUGAGUGGAAAAACUGACCCAAAAAUUCUAUAUCAAUUCAAACACUUUUGGAUAGGUAAGCUAAAUUUUUUUCAAAACAAAACAACUGAGGUCCCCUAAUGGUCUUAUCCAAAAUAGAAACAAGAAGAGGACAAUAGUCCGAAGCAAAAUGAAAGAGAUGAGUGAUUGAGGAUUCAAGAUAUAGAUUUAACCAUGUAUCAGUAGCAAAUCUCUGAUCGAUUCUCUCCCACACUCGCACAGCACCACCAUGAUUGUCGCACUAAGUGUAAGAGGGAUCCAAAAAAUCAAGAUCAAUAAGACCGGUAGCUCAAAGGAAAGCAUAAAAUUCCCUAAUGUCACGAUCAAUAGUAAAAAGCUUGCCCCCUUUCUUAUCCACAGUAUUCAAAAUAUAAUUAAAAUCUUCGAUAAGCAAAAGUGGAACUUGAAGAGAUAAAACAUCAUGAAUUUGAGACCAUAAAAAAUGAUGUUGAAAAAUGGAAGUACUAGCAUACACAGUGCCUAAAAUUCAAGAAGAAGCAUGAUUUAAGAUGGCCACCCCAAAAGUAAUCUGUCUAUCAAUAUGAUAAAAAUUAAUGGUACCCAAACUUUAUUUCCACACAAUGGCAAUACCUUCUGAUAAUCCAACCACAAGGAUCAUGUAAAAAUCCCAUGCAAGGCCAAAAAACCUGUAGAUGUGAUUAGAAGUAUUCUCACCAAGACAAGUCUCUAAAAAAUACAUCAUGUCCAUAUUAUGCUGCCAAAGCAAAACUUUAGUAUAAUUUGCAAAAAGGGACUCAGCAGCACCCCGACAAUUCCAAACAAGUAUCUUCAUUUUGGGGAACCCAAAGGUUGAUUCAUCUGUGACAACUCAUCCCCUGUAUUAUCCUUGGGGAUCAUCACUUCCCCCUACGUGACAGGCACAUCAACCAAAGAAUUUGGCAGGAGAUUACCUUGCAGCACAUCCUGAAUGUGUUAACAGACUCCUUCAUGAGAUUUGAUAGGCUGCAAGUCCAACGACGGAGGAGCAAUUUGAGAUGGUUGAUGCCAGUUUCUAGAAUUCCCUCUGAAACUCCAUGAACAUUAGAAGGCUCAAGAGUUAAAGCAUUAACCGGCUUCCAAACUUUUACCACCGAUACCUUGGCUUUACUACCCAUUCCAUUGUUAGUAGACCCCUGCCUAUGGGCUGACUCCUCCCCAGGAUUCUGCAAAAACACCUUAGCCUAUGGUGGGGAGGAUGAGUUGGAAUGAUUCUACUAUUUUGUAGGAGAACACUUGCGCUUAGCUUUUCCUUUUCCAAUAUCAGCAGAAGUCACAUUGAAAACCAUUGAUUCUGUAAUUUCCAUGUUCUGAUGCUCUGAGAAGUCUUCAGAACUUACAUUAUCUAGGGGACCAAAUUUAGAAGUGUAUGGAAAUAGAUCUUUACUUGGACCCAUCAUUGAUGAUUGCUUAGCUAGCUUCUUUGACUGAAGCCAUUCACUUGUUGACUGUCUACCAUUAGUAGCAAGGGAUAAAAGUUUAAUCUAUACUUGUGGCUUAGUCAUCGGAUCUACUAGCACUUAUGAUGCUCUAAUCCAAGGGCCAAAAAAUUAUUUUGCUCACCACUCUUGGUCGAACAAUCACAGGUUUUAGAAGAAAUUCUAAUCCAGCCACAAGUAUAACAGAUAUCAGGCAAUUCCUCAUAUGUAAAUUGUUGCCAUAAUAUUUCAUCCUGAACCUGAACCCUUGCUUCUGAGCAUACAAGCUUAUUCAAAUCCAAUAAGACACAAACACAAGCAUACCCCAUGCAUGAAGAGUUUAAAGUCUAAUCAUCUAAAAACAAAGGCUUAUCGGCAAAGGAUGCAACUUUUAGGAUCUUUUUUGCAUCCCGUAACUCCAACGGGAGACUUGGCAACCGCAGCCAGACCUGCAAUUGACUGAUUGUGUCCCACCCGGGGUGAAACUUUGGUCUCCAUGGUUCUAGGACAAGCAAUUGUCCGGCUAGUGACCAUGAUCUCCUUUCAAGAAUGCGGUCCCUAAUCUCCUCCAAAGGAUAUUGGAAAAGCAGUAGUCCUUCGGACAAGGCUGAAACAUAAAACUCACCUUGUACAUUCCAUCUUAUAUGCAUCUUUUUCUUAAUAAAAUCCAAAGGAAACCCCUUACCUAAGAACUUACCUAUCAAGGCUGAUUGCAAAUGCUGAGAUAAAGGUUGGAUUUCUUCUUUCAUAAAUUGGAUGACCUUCGAGAAUCUCUACUCCAACUGCAUAAUUUCUGCAUCAGACAUUUUAGCCAUCUCCCAUCAAAAUCUUCUUUGGCCUUGCACAACUUGAGUCCAAGGAUGGUUCGGAUCCACUACCGCAUUCCUCGCCGAAGAUGCUGAGCUAGCAUAAUUUCUCCCUCGCAAGUUGGUGGACUUCGGAAGUGGAGAUCUUCUAUUUUUGCUUGGAUCCUUAAUCGGCUCACCACCAGUGGAAGGGGGGGUUGAGGAUGAUACCUCCACUUUUACUUUUUCUUUUUUGUCUCCAGCAGCUCCCCUCGAAUCAACCUGGCUUCCACCAUCAGACGGAUUAUGGUCGGUUAAACCUCCCAUCUUCUUUGCCUUAAAAUCAUGGACUGAGUCCGAAGAGUCACUGUCCAUGACCACAAAAACCCACUCCCAAACCCUAUGAAAGAGACCAAAACAAAAUCCUAGCUCUCAAAACCACAAGGAUGAUGACAAAAACAAAGAAACCCUUUUCUGUCGUGAGUCUCUCUCUCUAACCUAUCUCUCGUUGGACAGCCUCGGUUUCCCUUCCUCCAUUAAAAUCAAAAAAUAUAUAUGUGAUAGCCCAACCAAG